UGCGAGUCUUUGUAGUAAUACAAGGCAUACGGCUCAGCAACGCGUAGUCAACCUACCCUAUGGACAAGAAUAAUCUCGGGAAACUGAGCAUAAUUCUUGAUAGAUCAUGAUGCCUGGAAUGGUUUAUGGUUAAAAUGAUUCGUCGCCAUAGGAUGGGACUGCGGCCUAUCAGCUUGUUGGUGAGGUAAUGGCCCACCAAGGCGAUUACAGGUACGGGCUCUGAGAGGAGAAGCCCGGAGAUGGGUACUGAGACAAGGACCCAGGCCCUAUGGGGCGCAGCAGGCGAGAAAACUUUGCAAUGUGCGAAAGCACGACAAGGUUAGUCCGAGUGAUUUCUGCUAAAGAGAUCUUUUGCUAGUUAUAAAACCACUAGUGAAUAAGGGGUGGGUAAGUUCUGGUGUCAGCCGCCGCGGUAAAACCAGCACCUCAAGUGGUCAGGAUGAUUAUUGGGCCUAAAGCAUCCGUAGCCGGCUCUGUAAGUUUUCGGUUAAAUCCAUACGCUCAACGUAUGGGCUGCCGAAAAUACUGCAGAGAUAGGGAGUGGGAGAGGUAGACGGUACUCGGUAGGAAGGGGUAAAAUCCUUUGAUCUAUCGAUGACCACCUGUGGCGAAGGCGGUCUACCAGAACACGUUCGACGGUGAGGGAUGAAAGCUGGGGGAGCAAACCGGAUUA
Molecule: ribosomal RNA, 673 nt
Filed under: uncultured archaeon
Lineage: Archaea
Description: bacterial SSU rRNA
Rfam family: Archaeal small subunit ribosomal RNA
Source: RNAcentral